GAUGAACGCUGGCGGCGUGCUUAACACAUGCAAGUCGAACGGAAAGGCCCAAGCUUGCUUGGGUACUCGAGUGGCGAACGGGUGAGUAACACGUGGGUGAUCUGCCUGCACUUCGGGAUAAGCCUGGGAAACUGGGUCUAAUACCGGAUAGGACCACAUUUUGGAUGGUGUGGUGGAAAGUUUUUCGGUGUGGGAUGAGCUCGCGGCCUAUCAGCUUGUUGGUGGGGUAAUGGCCUACCAAGGCGUCGACGGGUAGCCGGCCUGAGAGGGUGUACGGCCACAUUGGGACUGAGAUACGGCCCAGACUCCUACGGGAGGCAGCAGUGGGGAAUAUUGCACAAUGGGCGCAAGCCUGAUGCAGCGACGCCGCGUGGGGGAUGACGGCCUUCGGGUUGUAAACUCCUUUCGCUAGGGACGAAGCGCAAGUGACGGUACCUGGAGAAGAAGCACCGGCUAACUACGUG
RNAcentral lists this ribosomal RNA (464 nucleotides) under uncultured bacterium. RNAcentral's name for it is "partial 16S ribosomal RNA". It matches the Rfam family "Bacterial small subunit ribosomal RNA", at positions 28 to 507 of the family's 1533-position model. The record is from RNAcentral.